UCAUCAUCCAAGACAUACUCUCAGACUGGCUGUGUUUACUUAACAGGUUCUCUCAUCAUCCAAGACAUACUCUCAGGCUGGCUGUGUAUACUUAACACGUUCUCUCAUCAUCCAAGACAUAGUCUCAGACUGGCUGUGUAUACUUAACAGGUUCUCUCAUCAUCCAAGACAUACUCUCAGGCUGGCUGUGUAUACUUAACACGUUCUCUCAUCAUCCAAGACAUACUCUCAGACUGGCUGUGUAUACUUAACACGUUCUCUCAUCAUCCAAGACAUACUCUCAGACUGGCUGUGUAUACUUAACACGUUCUCUCAUCAUCCAAGACAUAGUCUCAGACUGGCUGUGUAUACUUAACAGGUUCUCUCAUCAUCCAAGACAUACUCUCAGACUGGCUGUGUUUACUUA
This is a long non-coding RNA of Limulus polyphemus (Atlantic horseshoe crab), 406 nucleotides long. RefSeq lists it as uncharacterized. The record is from RefSeq and is a predicted model, not a curated record. The transcript has 3 exons. NCBI's taxonomy places the organism in Eukaryota, Metazoa, Arthropoda, Merostomata, Xiphosura, Limulidae.